This 374-nucleotide ribosomal RNA is filed under the name uncultured Rubrobacteraceae bacterium. Its description in RNAcentral is "bacterial SSU rRNA". It matches the Rfam family "Bacterial small subunit ribosomal RNA", at positions 524 to 896 of the family's 1533-position model. Lineage: Bacteria; Bacillati; Actinomycetota; Rubrobacteria; Rubrobacterales; Rubrobacteraceae. The record is from RNAcentral.
UACGUAGGGGGCGAGCGUUGUCCGGAAUUAUUGGGCGUAAAGAGCGUGUAGGCGGUUCGGUAAGUCUGUCGUGAAAACCUGGGGCUCAACCCUGGGCGUGCGAUGGAUACUGCCGGGCUAGAGGAUGGUAGAGGCGAGUGGAAUUCCGAGUGUAGCGGUGAAAUGCGCAGAUAUUCGGAGGAACACCAGUAGCGAAGGCGGCUCGCUGGGCCAUUCCCGACGCUGAGACGCGAAAGCGUGGGGAGCGAACAGGAUUAGAUACCCUGGUAGUCCACGCCGUAAACGAUGAACACUAGGUGUUGGGGGAGUCGAAUCCCUCGGUGCCGCAGCCAACGCGUUAAGUGUUCCGCCUGGGGAGUACGGCCGCAAGGCUA